AGGGUUUGAUUCUGGCUCAGGAUGAACGCUAGCGGCAGGUCUAACACAUGCAAGUCGAACGGUAACAGAUCUAGCUUGCUAGAUGCUGACGAGUGGCGAACGGGUGCGUAACGCGUAUGCAAUCUGCCUUUAACUGAGGAAUAGCCCAGAGAAAUUUGGAUUAAUACCUCAUAAUAUUAUUUUACGGCAUCGUUUAAUAAUUAAAACUCCGGUGGUUAAAGAUGAGCAUGCGUCCUAUUAGCUAGUUGGUAAGGUAAUGGCUUACCAAGGCUACGAUAGGUAGGGGGCCUGAGAGGGCGAUCCCCCACACUGGUACUGAGACACGGACCAGACUCCUACGGGAGGCAGCAGUGAGGAAUAUUGCACAAUGGAGGAAACUCUGAUGCAGCCAUGCCGCGUGCAGGAAGAAAGCCCUAUGGGUUGUAAACUGCUUUUAUGCAAGAAGAAAUGCCAGUACGUGUACUGGUUUGACGGUAUUGCAAGAAUAAGCACCGGCUAACUCCGUGCCAGCAGCCGCGAUAAUAC
This 525-nucleotide ribosomal RNA is filed under the name uncultured marine bacterium. Its description in RNAcentral is "bacterial SSU rRNA". It matches the Rfam family "Bacterial small subunit ribosomal RNA", at positions 8 to 526 of the family's 1533-position model. The record is from RNAcentral.